CAAGCUUCCUUUCCAACUUGAACCCGGCAGAAUGGCUCCCGCAAAGAAGGGUGGCGAGAAGAAAAAGGGCCGUUCUGCCAUCAACAAGGUGGUGACCCGAGAAUACACCAUCAACAUUCACAAGUGCAUCCAUGGAGUGGGCUUCAAGAAGCGUGCCCCUCGGGCACUCAAAGAGAUUCGGAAAUUUGCCAUGAAGGAGAUGGGAACUCCAGAUGUGCGCAUUGAUACAAGGCUCAACAAAGCUGUCUGGCCCAAAGGAAUAAGGAAUGUCCCAUACCGAAUCCGUGUGCGGCUGUCCAGAAAACGUAAUGAGGAUGAAGAUUCACCAAAUAAGUUCUAUACUUUGGUUACCUAUGUACCUGUUACCACUUUCAAAAGUAAGUUCUCCAUCCCAUAAAGCCAUUUAAGUUCAUCUAAAAAA
This is an RNA transcript of Macaca mulatta (Rhesus monkey), 421 nucleotides long. It is a transcript of the gene named large ribosomal subunit protein eL31 pseudogene, with no coding region annotated. NCBI's taxonomy places the organism in Eukaryota, Metazoa, Chordata, Mammalia, Primates, Cercopithecidae. The record is from RefSeq and is a predicted model, not a curated record.